AUCCCAUGGUGUGGGCACUUUCUCAAUAACUCUUUAAAUCUCUCCCAACCUUCACAAAAGGAUUCAUCUUCCUGCUGCUGAAAAGACAUGAUUUCAUUGCGAAACUU
Small nucleolar RNA from Humulus lupulus (European hop), 107 nucleotides. The record is from RefSeq and is a predicted model, not a curated record. Lineage: Eukaryota; Viridiplantae; Streptophyta; Magnoliopsida; Rosales; Cannabaceae.